GGGUCUCCUGAGACCAGGAUGAGAGAAGGGUCAGACUGGUUGGAGUGCCAUUGAGCCAGAGCCUGCUGGGCAGGGGCUGGGGCACAGAUUCCUCCAGGGCUCCUUGGGAGGGUCUCAGUAGGAAGUGAGACCUCCCUAAGCUUGCUCUCUCUCCAAGGCAGGCAAGGAGAUAGGUUCUUUCUGCAAGCCCAGAAGCACCCAUGGCACCCCUCUCCCAGAAACUGGCUAGUUCCCUGAAGGUUUUUUUAGUCUAAGCUCAUCUACUAGCUGUUUCCACCCCUCUCUGUCCCACCCUGAGUCUGGAUUCUAAGCCCACAGGUCCACCUUGUGGACCAAACAGGCUACCAGAAGCCACCCCUGGCCUUGGCCAAUGCUCCUGCCUAUCCAGCCACAUGUGCAGGGGGGAGCUGAGAAUGUGCAAGAUGCCUCUGCUCUGGCACUCCCUUUAUCUUCCUCCCAGGUUAAAGGUCAAGCUUCAGUCCUUGGUCUUCCUGCUGUAAGACCAGUCCCAUACACCUCCCCCAGUACCUUUGGCCCAAAGCCUCCCAGAGCACUUUGCCCUGGUGGGUGAGUCUAGAGAAGCAGUAGCCUGGAGACUGGGCAAGGGGCAAUGUGAGGAAGGUCAGGCAGGGGCUGAGGCCAGGACAGUGAUGAUCAGGCUGGGAAGCUAGGUCGGCUUUACUUGGGACUCUAGGAAGAAGCACUGAUGGCAGCAGGCUCACCGCCACUGUCCCUUCACACAGCUACAGACUGCCCUACCUAAAACAAGGCCAAUCCCCGCCAUGUCCCUGCCAAAAACUUCCCAAAGGCUCUGCCCUGCCUACCACAUGGUUCCUAACGACAGAGGCAUCACUGCAGCCAUCCCAGGAUGUGUUCCAGCUAAGAACCUGACGAAAGCCUGCGUGGCCAGAAAAGCCCUUACCCCACUCGAGGGCUUAGGCUUGCUGGGGGUAGGUGGGACCUCCAACCUUCUGCAGAGGUGAGAUGGCAUUCACCUCUAUGUCCCCGGGCCUGCCCAGGUGGCAGGGAAUAUUUGCUGAAUGAACAAUGGUGGACAUCCUAAAUUCCUCAUCAGUCCCCUUGUCUGUGCCCUGCCCUGACUCCAGGCUUGUUCUUUGGGUGCUACCUGUGCUCAGAAGUGCAUUCUGAAGAAAACUCCUUUUAUGACCUGAGGAAUUUAUAGAAGUCUGGGUGUGGAAGAUGAGGACUAGGAAUCUCUUCUUUGUGAACACAGGUAAAAGGAAAUUGGUACAAGUGUUGAAGUGAGUGGUGGGGCACGCUGGGACUGGAGAUGAGACAAAAGUGUACCCUUAUGCCAAGAGCCUCUCAUUUGCGGAGUUUGGGCUUGCAUCUUUAGGACUGGGGAAUCUGUGCCCAUGGGUGGGUAUUGUGAUACCCCUAUCAUCUACCACUGGCAGAGGGAACCCCUAGAGUUGCCCCCAGGCAGCCUUCAAAGGGUCCAAGUCAUGGUAGGCACUUGGGGCUGCUCUGGAGUGCAGUGGGGUUGGUCCAGGAUGAUGGGGGGCUUAUAGGGGUGGCCCAGGAUGACAGGGGGAUCAAUCAGGGUGCUUGCUGAGUUUGAGCAGAGUAACUGCUGUGAAGCAUGAACAAGGAGCUUGGAAAGAAUCAAUGCGGGAAGCUGACAAGAGGCUCCAGGUAGCAAAGGCCUUUUCCACACCAACCUGGUUACACAUCCCAGCCCACUACCCACAAGAAGCUCCCAAGCACAGUUCUUCAGGCCACAGAGAUCAGGAGAAUGCAACUGUGGUAUCUGUGACAAGGCCUCCGAGAACAAUCGCCUCCCAUUGUGAUAGCUCAGCCACUAAAGCCUGGUUUGGGCGCACGCUGUUUUUGCACUUCUUGACGUAUUCCCAGGACUUCUGUGAACAUAAGGAGGGAAAGACUUCAGAACUGGACCUGGGCUCCUCCCACUUAGAUCACAGCCAGCUCUGGAGGGACAGGCGACAUUUGCCCAGGGGCUAGCAACAUGGCUUAAGGGCUGGACACAAAUAACAAGGGUUAGUACAUUAGGGCACAAAGGAGUCAGAGCUGGCAAGCCCCUCUGCAUCUCUGCUUCUGAAUACAGAGACAGGAAUCAU
This is a long non-coding RNA of Pipistrellus kuhlii (Kuhl's pipistrelle), 2099 nucleotides long. RefSeq lists it as uncharacterized. The transcript has 3 exons. The record is from RefSeq and is a predicted model, not a curated record. Lineage: Eukaryota; Metazoa; Chordata; Mammalia; Chiroptera; Vespertilionidae.